RNAcentral lists this ribosomal RNA (1373 nucleotides) under uncultured bacterium. Its description in RNAcentral is "bacterial SSU rRNA". It matches the Rfam family "Bacterial small subunit ribosomal RNA", at positions 28 to 1381 of the family's 1533-position model. The record is from RNAcentral.
GAUGAACGCUGUUUUUCGUGCCUAAUACAUGCAAGUCGAGCGAACGGACGAGAAGCUUGCUUCUCUGAUGUUAGCGGCGGACGGGUGAGUAACACGUGGAUAACCUACCUAUAAGACUGGGAUAACUUCGGGAAACCGGAGCUAAUACCGGAUAAUAUUUUGAACCGCAUGGUUCAAAAGUGAAAGACGGUCUUGCUGUCACUUAUAGAUGGAUCCGCGCUGCAUUAGCUAGUUGGUAAGGUAACGGCUUACCAAGGCAACGAUGCAUAGCCGACCUGAGAGGGUGAUCGGCCACACUGGAACUGAGACACGGUCCAGACUCCUACGGGAGGCAGCAGUAGGGAAUCUUCCGCAAUGGGCGAAAGCCUGACGGAGCAACGCCGCGUGAGUGAUGAAGGUCUUCGGAUCGUAAAACUCUGUUAUUAGGGAAGAACAUAUGUGUAAGUAACUGUGCACAUCUUGACGGUACCUAAUCAGAAAGCCACGGUUAACUACGUGCCAGCAGCCGCGGUAAUACGUAGGUGGCAAGCGUUAUCCGGAAUUAUUGGGCGUAAAGCGCGCGUAUGCGGUUUUUUAAGUCUGAUGUGAAAGCCCACGGCUCCUUUGUGGAGGGUCAUUGGAAACUGGAAAACUUGAGUGCAGAAGAGGAAAGUGGAAUUCCAUGUGUAGCGGUGAAAUGCGCAGAGAUAUGGAGGAACACCAGUGGCGAAGGCGACUUUCUGGUCUGUAACUGACGCUGAUGUGCGAAAGCGUGGGGAUCAAACAGGAUUAGAUACCCUGGUAGUCCACGCCGUAAACGAUGAGUGCUAAGUGUUAGGGGGUUUCCGCCCCUUAGUGCUGCAGCUAACGCAUUAAGCACUCCGCCUGAGGAGUACGACCGCAAGGUUGAAACUCAAAGGAAUUGACGGGGACCCGCACAAGCGGUGGAGCAUGUGGUUUAAUUCGAAGCAACGCGAAGAACCUUACCAAAUCUUGACAUCCUUUGACAACUCUAGAGAUAGAGCCUUCCCCUUCGGGGGACAAAGUGACAGGUGGUGCAUGGUUGUCGUCAGCUCGUGUCGUGAGAUGUUGGGUUAAGUCCCGCAACGAGCGCAACCCUUAAGCUUAGUUGCCAUCAUUAAGUUGGGCACUCUAAGUUGACUGCCGGUGACAAACCGGAGGAAGGUGGGGAUGACGUCAAAUCAUCAUGCCCCUUAUGAUUUGGGCUACACACGUGCUACAAUGGACAAUACAAAGGGCAGCGAAACCGCGAGGUCAAGCAAAUCCCAUAAAGUUGUUCUCAGUUCGGAUUGUAGUCUGCAACUCGACUACAUGAAGCUGGAAUCGCUAGUAAUCGUAGAUCAGCAUGCUACGGUGAAUACGUUCCCGGGUCU